GCCUCUAUUCUGCAUUAUAAUACUACUUCACAUCAUAUUCUGUGUUUUUGACCUCUUUUUGUUGUUUUGUAGGUUUUAAUCUGACGUCGUUCUCUUAUUCCCAGAUAUUUGGCAGCAGCCGCAGCCGUGAACUACAUAUACCAUCAUGCCUUGCGCGCUUACGUUUGCUGAAAGCAGCAUGUGCUUCGCUGCUCCGCUCCAACUAUGGCUCAGUGAGGCUGCGGCUCUUCUCAGGAUGGUGUCGUAUCGGCAGAGGCGCUCUUUGGAGCUACAGCAGAGACUAUCAUCGCACUGGACCAGAGGGAGGAACCGGCAUCUUUUUGUUCCUUACUGGAAAUAUUCAUAAUCUGCUUGAUUUGCCAAACCCAGUUUUUGGCACGGAUUCUUUUAAUUUACAAAGAGGAUUAAAUUGUAACGUUACAACGCGGACACACGUGGAUUGAUACUAUCAUUUUGCUUUAACCUGAUCAUGAGGGCAACAGCCGAGGGACUUAAAACUGUAGCUAUGGCUCGUCCUGUAGGUAUCAGGGAAAACUGUCCUGUCCGGGAUGAGUGGCGUCUGUUACUGCCACAGUCCUCCUGCUGGACAAGUCGGUCGACUCUCCUGGGAUAACUUGGGAUACACGCGUUGUCAACACUGUCAGAGGUGGUCAGUGUCAUAUGCUUUUGGAAAUGUAUUCUUUUGGAUUUUGGCACAAGGAAAAGGAUACCCUGGAAUAAAUUUUGGAAGCUGUGCUCCGUAGAUGUCCAGUGAUUUGGAUAAUAUGAAUACGCAUCUCCUGACCCAGCAGUGAAGGAGUCCAGGCUCUUGGCAAUGAGAUGUCAACCUUUAUUUGUUCCCAGCAAUCUUCUGAUUAUCUCCAGUGAGCAACAAGAAGAGGCUGACUAAUGGAAACAUGAUCUCAAGAGAUUCAACAGGUAGGGACGACUUUGGUUUUUGUUUGAUCUUCAUUCUGUGGAAUAUGUGAUCACACACAGCACAGUCUUAGGACAGUUGCUGUAAACAACCAAAAUAUGCUACGUUCACUGAUCAAACAGAGGUAGCAGUGGCAGUUCACAUAUAUAAAAGACAUGAUCAGGGUGGUGGCACUGGAUUUUUGCCUAUAUUCGUGCUUUUUUUAAAAAUUAUGUAACCCAAGUCAUGACAGUACAGUAAAAAAUGCAGUGGCACAGAGGUAUCACUUCAAACACAGCUUCUCUUGGGAGCCUCAGAUCCUUUCAUUGGUGCUGAAUGAAGAUAUGCUUUGAUGGCCCACCACAGAGUCGUGGCCUUCAAAGAAACUCAUUGACUGAAUUGUGCAGGGCCGCCAGCAGGCUGAAUGAGCGCCACUGUAUAAGUGCACCUCUCAGGGUAGUCGUGGGUGUUCCCAGUGGAGGUCAAACAUGCUUGACCCCAACAUGAGUACUAAUUUUCUAUAGAUUUUAGGUUUGCAUUUCUCUUCUUUUCUUUCCUUCUGCCUGGUUCUAUUACUAAAUGACGGGGAGCUGUGUGCGGAUGGCAGGGUGCCAGCAGACAGGUACUGUAGAUGUGAUGAUGAGGGAGUGUGAUAGAGGCUGGCCUCAGUUGCAUCCCCAGGCAAAGACAGACAUACACAGGCAGGCUGAGACUCAGAGGCAGGUUGGGGCCUGGUUUUGUAUGCUGAUGCUGCUCUGCUGGCUCUGCUCCAAGGUGAGGCAUAGGCGAGAAACGUGGGAAGGGAAAAACCAGAAUGGUGGCCAAAAGUAAAGAUACAGAAAACACACAACCACAAAUGAGGAUAGAUUAUAGCAUAGAGUGUUAACAAAAAACAAGACAGUGUUUGUAGCUUAUGCUCCAGGAAACAAACUGAAAAGAGAUGAUGACGUGAAGCCCUGAGGAGAGAGAGGGAAAUGCAGGAGGAGAGAUAUGAAGAAAGAGUGCGGCCACUUCCUGUACGCUGGUAGAACGUGACUCCACACAGGAUCACACCAAAUCCAAGUUUGGAUGGUGGACCAGCAUCCCCACAGCAGAUGUUUGCUCCUGGCAUGGCUGCUGACAGUAUGAGCUCCAUCACUGACAGUCUAGCUCUCAGGAUCCAGCCAGCAGCUUGAACUUGGAGGAGCCAUGACAUAAACUCACCAGGAUAGCAAAGCAUAUUCCGCUGCUCAGGCAUCAUGGAACAUAUCAGUCAACCUCUUCUGGAAAGGUGCUCAAGAGAGGAGUCAACUUGAUGAAUGAGCAUUUACUGUAGCUACCAUGACGGUCUACAUACUGUUUAACUAUUUUCUAAAUUGAAACUGGAUUAGUAUUUUCCCGUGCAUACAUCUGCUCUUGAUUUUCAAUAUUUACUGACACUGUUGCUCAUAUACUGUAGCUGUGAUUUUUACUGUGUUAUUCUAAAUACAGCAUCAAUAGUUUUUUUGGAUUUCAUUUUCUGGACUAUUUUUACUACUUUGAAGGCUAUUCUUUGCUUAACAUUUCAGGUUGAUCGAAUGAGGAUACAUAUCUCCUAUGCAUGUGAUCAAAAUGCCUCAGAAAAAUUACUCUGCCAAGACAAUGGAACAUUUCAAAGAAGCCAUUGUCAUCAUGGUCUUGAUAAAUGUAAAACAAAAUCUCUUUUAAUGACAACGCAUUUUGUUUUGACACAUUGGCAGCGUGUCUUAAUUCUGGUUCAUAAUCCUGUCAAGUUGUCGACUCUCAUUAUGAUUUAUUGCUCCAACAUUUGUGUUGUGUCUGUGAAACCUUGUUAGCAGAAAUAAAGAGGUGUAUCCAAGCUGCUGUCUGUUUUAUCAUUGCAUCUGCAGCUCUGUGAGAUGAGUAACCGAUAAGAUGGUUUCAUGAUGUUAUCUGUGUCAACUGUUACUGUUCGUCAAGCUGGUUUCAUUACUAGUUAGUUACUAUGUGCCAAUCUGGUAUUAGGGGAUUAGCUAGAGUUGUAUCACUCUUUUAUUUUUCUUUUGGGUUUAGACAGUGAAUAAAAGUGAAGUGAAAAUGGAAAACCAUGACAUUUAAAUGUUGAUAAAUUGAAAUGUUUUAGGAAAUCACAAGGUUUUGCUUGACUAAUUCAAUGUGAAUAAUAAGGACAAUGUUCAAGAGAUUAAAAAUGCAUUGUGCAAAAACCAAAUUCAUUAUAAUCACAAGCACUUUUGUAGUUUUAACACAUGACAUCAUAGAAAUUAG
Long non-coding RNA from Amphiprion ocellaris (clown anemonefish), 3139 nucleotides. The record is from Ensembl. Lineage: Eukaryota; Metazoa; Chordata; Actinopteri; Pomacentridae.